This 508-nucleotide ribosomal RNA is filed under the name uncultured bacterium. RNAcentral describes it as "partial 16S ribosomal RNA". It matches the Rfam family "Bacterial small subunit ribosomal RNA", at positions 30 to 523 of the family's 1533-position model. The record is from RNAcentral.
AUUGAACGCUGGGGCGUACUUAACACAUGCAAGUGGUGCGACGAACCAGGCUUCGGCCUGGGGCGAAGCCGCGAACGGGUGAGUAACACGUGGGCAAUCUGCCCCUUUGAUCGGGACAACCCGGGGAAACCCGGGCUAAUACCGAAUGAGGUGGCGACUCAUGAGAGUCGUCACGAAAGGAAGCUUCGGCCUCCGCGAAGGGAUGAGCCCGCGGCCCAUUAGCUUGUUGGUGGGGUAAUGGCCUACCAAGGCAACGAUGGGUAGCUGGUCUGAGAGGACGAUCAGCCACACUGGGACUGAGACACGGCCCAGACCCCUACGGGAGGCUGCAGUGGGGAAUCUUGCGCAAUGAGCGACAGCUUGACGCAGCAACGCCGCGUGAGGGAAGAAGGCUUUCGGGUCGUAAACCUCUUUCAGUUAGGACGAAGCUUUAUUGGUUAAUAACCAAUUGGAGUGACGGUACUUUCAGAAGAAGCCCCGGCUAACUACGUGCCAGCAGCCGCGGUAA